GCAGCAUCAGGAUGAAGUCUCAUGCUCGGCUCCUCUGGCUCGUCCUGCUCUGGAUUCAGGGCUCCAGCGGGGACAUCGUGAUGAACCAGACUCCAGAGUCCCUGGCAGUGUCGCCAGGAGACACCGUCACCAUCACCUGCAAAGCCGUUACAUACAGUGGUAGCAACGUAGCCUGGUUCCAACAGAAAUCAGGACAACCUCCUAAGCUUCUUAUCUACAGCACAAACUCGCGGCCCUCCGGGAUCCCUGACCGGUUCAGUGGCACUAGGUCGGGCAGUGACUACACUCUCACCAUCAGCCAGGUGGAAGUAGGCGAUGCUGGCGACUAUUACUGUCAGCAGUAUAGCAGUUUCCCUCUCACACAGUGAUACAGACCACGACAAAAACCUCCCUGCUGGGUUCAGCUUCUCUUGCUCACUCAAACAGCUGCAUCCUGCACACACUCACUGCCUCACACCAGUUACUUCUUGCUCAUAUGGGCUGGAUCUGCCAGCCUGUGAGCACUUCAUCCUAUGCUUCACUCUCUCCCUAGUUCAUUGACUCUGCCAUGUUGUGUUCUGGCUCAUUGCACGGUGCCCAGCACUUCUUCCCUCUGUGUCUAAGGCAUUUUGGCUCCAUAA
This is a non-coding RNA of Alligator mississippiensis (American alligator), 620 nucleotides long. Lineage: Eukaryota; Metazoa; Chordata; Crocodylia; Alligatoridae. The record is from the annotation of a RefSeq genome assembly.